AUUCCAGCUCCAAUAGCGUAUAUUAAAGUUGUUGCGGUUAAAAAGCUCGUAGUUGGAUUUCUGCCGAGGAUGACCGGUCCGCCCUGUGGGUGUGCAUCUGGCUCAGCCUUGGCAUCUUCCUGAAGAACGUAGCUGCACUUGACUGUGUGGUGCGGUAUUUAGGACAUUUACUUUGAGGAAAUUAGAGUGUUUCAAGCAAGCGCACGCUUUGAAUACAUUAGCAUGGAAUAAUAAGAUAGGACCUCGGUUCUAUUUUGUUGGUUUCUAGAGCUGAGGUAAUGAUUGAUAGGGAUAGUUGGGGGCAUUCGUAUUUAACUGUCGGAGGUGAAAUUCUUGGACCGUUUGAAGACGAACUAAGGCGAAAGCAUUUGCCAAGAAUGUUUUCAUCA
This 389-nucleotide ribosomal RNA is filed under the name Biecheleria sp. RNAcentral describes it as "partial small subunit ribosomal RNA". It matches the Rfam family "Eukaryotic small subunit ribosomal RNA", at positions 582 to 975 of the family's 1831-position model. The record is from RNAcentral. Lineage: Eukaryota; Dinophyceae; Suessiales; Biecheleriaceae.